RNAcentral lists this microRNA precursor (109 nucleotides) under Marmota monax (woodchuck). Lineage: Eukaryota; Metazoa; Chordata; Mammalia; Rodentia; Sciuridae. The record is from RNAcentral.
AAUGAGAUUGCUGGCUCAUGGUAAGUAGGGGUAAAUAUAUAUUUAACUUUAUCAGAAAUUGCCAAACUGCUGUUUAGAGUGCUGCACAUUUUACAUUCCCAUCAGCAAU